AAGUCGUAACAAGGUCUCCGUUGGUGAACCAGCGGAGGGAUCAUUAUCGAGUUUACAACUCCCAAACCCCUGUGAACAUACCUAUCGUUGCCUCGGCGGUGCCCGCUCCGGCGGCCCGCCAGAGGACCCCCAAACUCUUGUUUUAUACAGUAUCUUCUGAGUAACACGAUUAAAUAAAUCAAAACUUUCAACAACGGAUCUCUUGGUUCUG
Molecule: unclassified non-coding RNA, 211 nt
Filed under: Neonectria candida
Lineage: Eukaryota; Fungi; Ascomycota; Sordariomycetes; Hypocreales; Nectriaceae
Description: partial internal transcribed spacer region
Rfam family: Eukaryotic small subunit ribosomal RNA (bases 1-46)
Source: RNAcentral